UAAUAAGUGUUUUAUGGCACUUUUUAAAUCCAUAUCCACCUUGUGUGCAACGUCAGUCGAUCUUCUUCAUGGAGAUCGACCAAACAUCAACCUUUAUUUUUUAACUCUUUGUCUGAAAAAUAUUAUGAAUAAACAAUUCAAAAUA
This 145-nucleotide unclassified non-coding RNA is filed under the name soil metagenome. Its description in RNAcentral is "partial internal transcribed spacer 1". The record is from RNAcentral.